GACGAACGCUGGCGGCGUGCCUAAUACAUGCAAGUCGAACGAGAGCGACCGGUGCUUGCACUGGUCAAUCUAGUGGCGAACGGGUGAGUAACACGUGGGUAACCUGCCCAUCAGAGGGGGAUAACAUCCGGAAACGGAUGCUAAAACCGCAUAGGUCUUCGAACCGCAUGGUUUGAAGAGGAAAAGAGGCGCAAGCUUCUGCUGAUGGAUGGACCCGCGGUGCAUUAGCUAGUUGGUGAGGUAACGGCUCACCAAGGCCGUGAUGCAUAGCCGACCUGAGAGGGUGAUCGGCCACAUUGGGACUGAGACACGGCCCAAACUCCUACGGGAGGCAGCAGUAGGGAAUCUUCCGCAAUGGACGCAAGUCUGACGGAGCAACGCCGCGUGAGUGAAGAAGGUUUUCGGAUCGUAAAACUCUGUUGUUAGAGAAGAACAAGUGCUAGAGUAACUGUUAGC
RNAcentral lists this ribosomal RNA (456 nucleotides) under Granulicatella adiacens. RNAcentral describes it as "bacterial SSU rRNA". It matches the Rfam family "Bacterial small subunit ribosomal RNA", at positions 28 to 473 of the family's 1533-position model. Lineage: Bacteria; Bacillati; Bacillota; Bacilli; Lactobacillales; Carnobacteriaceae. The record is from RNAcentral.